ACUCCUACGGGAGGCAGCAGUGGGGAAUAUUGGACAAUGGGGGCAACCCUGAUCCAGCCAUGCCGCGUGAGUGAAGAAGGCCCUAGGGUCGUAAAGCUCUUUCAACUGUGAAGAUAAUGACGGUAGCAGUAGAAGAAACCCGGCUAAGCUCCGUGCCAGCAGCCGCGGUAAUACGGAGGGGUUAGCGUUGUUCGGAAUUACUGGGCGUAAAGCGCACGUAGGCGGACUAUUAAGUUAGAGGUGAAAUCCCAGGGCUCAACCCUGGAACUGCCUUUAAUACUGGUAGUCUUGAGUUCGAGAGAGGUGAGUGGAAUUCCGAGUGUAGAGGUGAAAUUCGUAGAUAUUCGGAGGAACACCAGUGGCGAAGGCGGCUCACUGGCUCGAUACUGACGCUGAGGUGCGAAAGUGUGGGGAGCAAACAGGAUUAGAUACCCUGGUAGCUACGAG
This 447-nucleotide ribosomal RNA is filed under the name uncultured bacterium. Its description in RNAcentral is "bacterial SSU rRNA". It matches the Rfam family "Bacterial small subunit ribosomal RNA", at positions 335 to 801 of the family's 1533-position model. The record is from RNAcentral.